UAGCGACAGUACCGUGAGGGAAGAUGAAAAGAACUUUGAAAAGAGAGUUAAACAGUACGUGAAAUUGUUGAAAGGGAAACGAUUGAAGUCAGUCAUACCAACGGGAAAUCAACCUUUUGAGCUUGGUCUCGUGGGUUUUGAAGAGUUUCAAAGCCUUCGGAUUCGCUAGAUUGGGAUCUCUUGGUGUACUUUUUCGUACGGUUAGUCAACAUCGGUUUUGAAUGUCAUAAAAUGACUGGAGGAAUG
RNAcentral lists this ribosomal RNA (246 nucleotides) under uncultured Glomeromycotina. Its description in RNAcentral is "partial large subunit ribosomal RNA". It matches the Rfam family "Eukaryotic large subunit ribosomal RNA", at positions 338 to 611 of the family's 3401-position model. The record is from RNAcentral. Lineage: Eukaryota; Fungi; Glomeromycota.